AAGCUUAUAGUAUAAAAUACUACACGUUUAGGUUUAAACAAAUGGAUAUGGCAGAGCAAUAUGUAACAAUCCAAUAAUGCUUAUUUCUUUUUAUUUUAGUAAUUGAGUUUUGUUACAAGAUAGAUUCUGAAACAGUUUUACACACACACACUACUCAACCUUGCUUAGCAAGGCAAUCAAACAUGACUUAUUAGGAAAAGAAAAAAUUGAAACAAAAUUAAGAUGAAGCUUGCAUGUCUCAUCAUCAUCAUCUGCUGCUUAUGAAGUUGCAGGGACCAAGCGUCUGGAGCAAAUUGUGCAGUAGAAUUUCUUCUUAACUUUAUGAGAGAUUGGAAGAAAACAAAAUCUCAAAUGGGCAUCAAAAUCUAUUGCCAGCACAGGCCCUCCACAGUAUGGGCAAGCUGCAUCAGCUCCAUUUCUCCUAAUCACCUUUUCUCGCAGAUCGAAUAUUGACAACACACUCAUUUUUCUCUUUUUGUUGGGGGACGUUGUUGUAAGCAAUGCUUGUUCUCAAUAUAUUUUUGUAUGCACAUAAUAUAUACUUAAAGAUUUGGGCAUGCAACUUCUUUGGAGUUUCAUUUUUAAUGCUGUUUCUUAGCUGGGGCGCUAUUUUUUUUUUUAAUUUAGUUACAACUGUUAAAGAACUUGGUAUUUUUCUCGAACUGAUUGGUGAUGUUCACGUUUGGUGCGUUUAAAGCAAGAAAUGAAUCAAUUGAGAAGCUGCGAAGAAAUUGGUAUUGAAAGCAGCGAGGUUCGCUCCAGGUCAAAAAAAUGGUGCAUUGACGGUUUGACUUCUUGGACAUUUUAGCUGCGGUUUCUCACUGAGCCCGUGUUUUUAAUUACAAUAGAAGCUUUACACCCUGGAUUUUGAUGUAACUGAUGUAUUCAUUUGACGCACCGCACCAUAUUAUGUGAAAAGAAAGGAAUAAAAUCCUUUUUUUAUCUGAAUAUUAUUGAAUUUUUAAUGAUUUUUUAUUAUGUGUCUUUUAGUGAUAGUGUACGGAUAAGAUUUAAUUUCUUUUUACUUUUUUAUUUAUUAACAACCAGUCAGUGAUUGAGUUAUUUGCUCAUGACAUGAUCAAAUCAUAAAAAAAUCUUGAUCCAAAAAGAAAAUAGAUUAAAAUGUGCAACAUGUUUACAUCCUGCAUCACUUGGGAAGGUUGUAAGUCAUGAGCUCAUAAUUUGUGAUCCCCUUUGAGUCUAUUAGGAUUCUUUUCGGGUGGGCUUGGGCAGUACCAAAAGAAAGAAAUCCAAAGGGUAAAGGAGACAAUAUCUUGUUAGUGGAUCGGCCGUUACAUUAGAAUAGAUUGAGUUACAAGUGGGAUGAUGUUAUUCUUUUUUUUUUUAAUUAAUAUUAUUUAUUUUAGAAUUUCCCUUAUUACACAAUAAAUAUUUUUUCUCCUCCCUCAGGAUCUCAAUAGACUAACUGACCACGUCUUACAUCUCUCUUUCUUUUCUUUUUCUUUUUUUUAAAUUGAUUCGCAAUUUGAAUGAAAUGUUAACUCACAGUCAAAUCCCCAACUAAAAUUAAACAAAAUCUUAUAAAAUCACAAGAAGUAAGGUCAAUAUCAUUAAUAACAACAAAAUCCAUCACUUGUUCAUAAAAUUUAAUAAAACUCAAUAUUGAAACUCGUCAUAUGUUGAUGGAUUUAUGUACCUGUUGUCGAUGAAGAUAGAUCGUAGAGGUGAUAAUUAUACUAGAGAGAGAGAGAGAGAGACGGGGUGGGGAGAGACGGAAAAAAUAAAAUAAAAAUUAUUAUUUUUUAAUUAAGAAUGAUUCAGAAAUAUUAUAAAAUAAAUUAAAAAGUGGUGGCCGGUAAUAUCGUUUGAGAAGGUAAAAUAUUAUUACUCUUAUCUCUUGACUUGCCAUUGCUUGGUCUUUUUUUUUUUUUUCCUUCUUUCAAAAUGGACUUAUCGUUACAUUAGGAGAAAUUAAAGAGUCGGACGAUUGGCUCCUCCCUAAAAAUCCUAAUAAAACACCUUUUUCAAAAGAACCCCAUUAAUUAAACUAAAAGAAUUCAUUAUUUAUAACGAUACAUGCAUUCUUCCAAAAUUACCCUUAAUUUAAUCUCUUUAAAUUUGGCUUAUUUAUGUAUGAAUAUAUAUUUUUUGAAAUAAUUACUUCUUUAACAGAAAAAAUUACAAGAGACCUACCAUUUUGGAAGGGCAUCCUCCAACAUUUGAUCAAGGCCCCCGCUGCUAUAAUAGCCAUCACCAUCAUCUUAUUUUGCGCCUGUAAAAGCUUUACAAUCAGCAAUUAAACCGUAUAAACAAACAGUUGAGGUUUCAUUUUCAAUACCAUCCAUACGGAACAAGAUUCCCACAGCCUCAAAUACGAAUGGGGUUUUGGCCAAUUAGACUGAAUAGCUGCUGAGCAAAUAUGUAUAUAUAAACAUAAGGAUCAAAGUUGUGGUGUUGAAAAUGACCCAAGAUCCUUGCGUGUUCAUUAAAGGAUGCGUACUCGAAAGAGAUUGAAAUAGGGAUAGUUUUAGAAGAAGAUCAGUUUCCUCAUAAAUAAUGAAUUCUGUUUUAUCUGUUAAAGAGGUUCUUUCAUAAAGAGGGUUUUAUCAGGACUUUAUUGGGGUGUUGUUAGUAGCUCAACCCUAAAUUGAAUUAAUGGGCUGGCAAACCUAAAAGGUAUUUGACUAACCCCCUAAUCUCCUCAUGAAGCUCCAUUUUUAAUUAUAUUUAUUUUAUUUUUGAAAAUAAAUUUAAUUUUUAUUUAAUUUUUUUAUUGUUAAAACUUAAAAUAGUAUUGUAUUAUUUUUUUCAUUUCUUUUGUAAUCUUAUUGUUACUCGACAUACAAACUGAAAAGUUUUCUAGUUUAUGAAUUUUUGGAUGUUAAUUAUUAGCUUAAAUAGCACAUAUAUUUAGACUGUAGUUUGAAAGUAAUGUUAAGUACAAAAAUAUUUAAUUAAUAAGAAAUAGAAAAAAAAAAAAAAAAAAGCGAUUGAUCAUGAAUGUGAGUAUUUUGUUAAAAAAAAAAAAUUCCAUGUGUUGACUUCUUAUUUGUUCUUAACUAUAAUUUUAUUUGAAGUAGGGUUUUAUAAGAAUAAUGAAGGGGUGCCAAUAGCUUCACUCAAUGGUAUUUAUCCUACUCAACUUAUUUCACUAGCCCCACUAUCUAAUUUGUUUCUAAACCUACCCUGUAUCAAAAAAUAAAUAUAGUAGAAUCUCAUUAAAUUAAUAAUUGAUAGAUUGAUAACCUUGAUUAAAUAAUAGUUUUUCAAUUUUGACUUGGGAGCAAUGUGGUAAAUUAAUAAUUCGAUAAAUUUAUUAGAUAAUAAAAAAAUUUUUAAAAAUAUUAUCAAUUAAUUCAUAAAUUAAUAUUAACUAAUUUAAAACUAAAUGCAUAUUUAAUAUGUCUAUGAUUUUCUUUGUUGUACUAUUAUAAUGCUUUAUGCAUUUCAUCUGUCACAAUUGCUUUUUUUUUUUAUAUACUUUUCAAAUAAAAAGUCAUUGUUGUAUUCUAUAUGCUACGUCAAGAGAAAUAAGAGAGAUGGCUUAAUAUAUUGCCUUCAAAUGUCUUCUUUGAUGAGUUACCAUGUAGUUGUGAUCUAACCAUACAAUCUAACCAAAAGAUUAUCACAGGACUAGUUCACUCAAUCAAGAACAAAUAAAAACUAUAUUAUAUAACUUGACGAAAUCACUAUAUUCUCUAAUUAUACUACAUUUACACUUCAUAAAAACUCCUAUUAUGAAUUGUUAUUAUCUUUAUAAAUUAAUGGUUAUUAAUUUAUCAAUGUAUUAAUAUUUACUAAAUUAAUAUAUUUUAAAUGAUCCAAAAGCUGUUAAUUUAUCAAGGUCAUACUAUCAUGUGCUUUAUAUAUAUAUAUAUAUAUUUUUUCUCAAGUAUCACCAGCUAUUUAUUUCCAUUGUGGAAGUUUCGGUAACAGUGGUGGGAGAAGGUGGUUGGAAUUUGUGAAACUGUUUUUGUGUUUUUUGUUUUAAUGAAUUUUUAUUUUCUAAUAAAGAUAAUUAUAUAAAGGGAGAUUGCCAAUUUCCCCCCUACAGUAAUUAACAUAUACUAUUUACUCCCCUUCUUUUUUUAUAAUGGCCAAAAUUCCCACUGACAGUAUAAGUUUACAAUAUUAUCCUUAUUUUUAAUUACUCUUUUAUUUAUAUUUAUUAUAAAUUAAAUAAAUUACAUGAAUAGAAAUUAAAUAAAAAAUUAAGCAUUAAAAAAAUAUAUAUGUUUUGAUAUGAGAAAAAAAUUAAUAAUAAAUUUUUUUUCUUGUACUUAUUUAUUUUGUGAAAAUUUUCUUAUAAUAAAUGUAUAAGAAAGUUAUUAUAAAAUGAUUAAAAAAUUAUUAUAAGAAAAUUUGAAUGACAAAUAAAAAUUUAUUAUAAGAUAAAUAAUAAAAUAUUUUGCCUAUACUUUUUAAAUUUAAUUUUAAAAUAUUACAAAAUUUUUAUUAUAAAAAAUGUUCACAAAAUAAAUAAUUACAAGAAAAAAAACUUAUUAUUAAUUUUUUUGCUCAUAUCAAAACAUAUAUUUCUUGUUUUUAAUACUUAAUUUUUUUAUUUAGUUUCUAUUCAUGUAAUUUAUUUAAUUUAUAAUAAAUGUAAAUAAAAGAGUAAUUAAAAAUAAGGAUAAUAUUGCAAACUUAUGCUGUCAGGGGAGUUUUUGGCCAUUAUAAAAACAUCAGGGGAGUAAAUGAUAUAUGUUAAUUACUGUAGAGGAAAAAAUGGCAAUCCCCUUGUAUAAAUAACUGCAGUUAAUUGAAAAGUGGGGAUUAAUAAGAAAAAUUAAGAGAUUUAGAUAGCAUUGCUAUUUAAACAAAAAAAAAAAGAAAAAGAAAUUAAACAGAAAGAAGAAAUAAUUAACCAUCCCCGCUUUAAGUAUCCUUGAAUACCCUUGAAUAUCUUUCGCAUAUUUCGGGUUAAGUAUUUUACUUCACGUGAAAGUGUGAUUGGGCUUGGACAGAAAUCCAUUUUAAAUGCAAAUUACCCCUCUAAUUAAAUAAGAAGUGCUUCAGUACGCUCUUCAAAACAAAUAAUACCAUAAGCAAUUAAUUCUAAGCGUAUAUCAAAUCCACGGAAGCAGUAAUUCGCUAUGAACAUUCCCAACAUAAUUAAUUGGCUUCAAGUGACAAGCAUAAAGCCAGAAUCAGUGAUCAUUCUCGGAUAUACAAGAAAAGAAUGCCAUGUAAUGUACUGAUAAACACAUAAAUGUCAUGAUGAGGGUACGUCUACGGGGUUGUGGGCUUCAAUAUCCACGUGCCGUAUGCCAGGAACGAGGUCCUGGAUCUCCUUCUCUAGUCUAUCAACUUCAGUUCCUAAAGCUGUAACAACUUCCUCGCCUGCACCAAGAACUCGAUGUUUAAAACAUUCCAAGCACAAUUCAAGUUAUACAACAAACUGCAUGCAUACCAUAGUUUGACAUGAUUUUAAGCAAGGCUGCGUCGUCCUUCUCCUUUGCAGCUUCACGAAACUGUCAUCGGAGCCAGUCGGACAGAUAGAAAUAGUUAAUGAUAUUAACUUGUGAAGUAUGGCAUGUGUCAAUUCAACAAGGGAGUUGGAAGUAAAAUAUAUGCACGUAAUGAAUUUGUAAGCGUUAGGACUCGCAAAGUUAAUAGUUACCAAAACAUUGGACUGUAUCAGUUUCUAAUAUGCAUGUGAUACAUUUCAAAAUAAGAAUGUGAAGUAAUAUAAAGUACAGACUAAGAUGAUUAACCUGUUUGGCCCAAGCUUCACGUCCGGUUCUCUUUAGAUAAUUCUGUACAACCAUCACUCCGUUGAAAUCUGUUUCAAUUCAGCCAAACAUAAUCGUAUCAUAUUAAUACACCACUAAUGCCAAAUUAAUUCACAUUAAUGAAACUAAAUUUCAUGAGUGGCAUAGCUGAAUAAUGCCUGCUUCUUUCCACUUUCAAUACAUGAUUAAAAUGAUUUCUUAUCAUUACACAUAAAGUUUGCAUCUAUGUAGGCAAUUAAUCAUCACAAAUAUAUGCUGUGUACUCCAUAUUAUCUAUAUGAAUUUACAAAUGCCAAAGCAGCUCAUAUGGAUUGUAAACUAAGAAUAUUAUCAGAGAAAUUCACACCUCUUUACAGAAACAACAAGCUACUACUCUUGCAAAGAUUUCUACAAAAAUGUAGAUACCAAAUGUAACAGAGACGACAUGUUGUUGACAAUAAUCAGAUAUUGAUGUUGACAGAAAUUAACUCUCUGACAAAUCAGCAAAAGUACGAGCUAACACAGGGAAGAUUGGAAACAUUGACAGAUAUAUUGAUUUUAGAAGGAAAUUCAGGAAACGAAGUUCCAAGAAAAAUAAAAUUGCAGUAGGACAUGGCAAGAAAAAUCACCUAUCUCUGCCUUGAAUCUAAAGAAUCCCGGUCCAAUCACCUCGCUUUUGCAAUCAUAUAGAGCAUCUACAACCUGCCAAAAUUUUAGAUUUUCAAACAUGGGAAUAAUGCACAGAACAAAUGUAGUCGUAGACUUAUCUUACAUGAACAUACCGGAUCAUUUUUCAAGAAAUGGAGAAUCUUCUCCAUAUCAUGGUCAUCCAUAGCCCUACCAAUCAAAGCAUGACGAUUCCUUUGUAUUAGAAAUAUAGCCACCUGCAUAGGAGAUACAGUUCAUUACCUAUAACAAUAGUCAAAAUUUUAUUAGUUGUUCUCUUGUCAAUAUAAUAUACUAAACAGCGAUAAGAACAGUCAAAUCUGAUGACAGUUCCAAGAUAAGCCUGACCAUCAGAUAUUAUUGAUAAAAGAACAGUAAUUUCUGCAUGGCCAAUUCAUUAUUUAGAGCAUCAUUCAAAGUGCAGCAAGCAAUCUUGCUUUUGCCACUAUUCCUCCUCUUCUACUCUAACUAAUAAUACAAAACAAGCCAUUUUCAUAUUUUCAUAUUCAAAAUUUCUAAUUUUAAUAGCCAUUGGGGCUUAAAUUUACAAUUAAACAGAUUCCUUCAACCAGCUCUUUUAAUCACACUUAUCACUUUCUGUAACAAUCUUAGUUACCAUUUUUGGGAGCCUAUCUCCAAAUUCAAAUAAUCAGUAAAUGUAUAAAUUCCAUAUUCAUACAGAUAUAAUUUUUUUUUUUCAAAAAUGCAUUUUAUAUUUUAAAGUUUUUUCUUUCGAGUUACCAUGCAGCCACCUGAUCUCACCGUAAAUUAAACUAAAUCCCUCUCCAAAGUUGGUGUGAGUAGGAUUCAAACUUUUCACCUCUUCAUUUCACUAACAGGCCACGAGGCCAAACUAGCUGGAGUGUUCCCUUGAGGACUUCGUACAGAUCUAUUCAUGAGAUCAAUAAAAACUAAAAACAUAAAUGAGCAGUAGAAAACGGAAUUGAGAAACAAGGAUCCUGUUUCAGUAAGAUUUGAACUUAAAAGCAACCCAAGCUGCCAAUCUUUCUGUAGCUUGAAGCAGCAUGGCUGAAUGGUGAGGUACCAUAUGACAAAGCAUACAUAAGUCAUCAUAUAGCAUUCUCUAUUUUUGAAUUGUCAAUUCUUUGAAAUUGGGUACCUAUUUAAAGCUUGGAAGAAGUUGGUUGAAACUUAACAAAAGAACCCUUUCCUUUAAGGGUUGAUAAUACAUUUUCAGAAAGGUCCAAGAUGUCUCAGCUGAUGCCAUUUUCUCAUUGAUUUCUGAGUGACAGAACUAUAAUGCAUGUCUCAGAGAACCAAUUACUUUUAGAAAGUGCCUUUUCCUUGCUCCAAAUGGUAAAAUAAGAGCACAUUAGAAGUUCACAUGAUACAAUAAAACUUCUCUAUAGUAAUACUCUGUAUAAGAAUAACCUUCAUAUAGUCAUAAAAAAUUAUUAUCCCGAUUUGGGCCAGUUAUAAAAAAAAAUAAAGUCCACAUUGUAAUAAGUUACAAUUUUCUAAAUCCUAUUCUAAGGACAUUACCUCUAUAUAGUAAUAAUUAACUGAAUAUUCUAAAAAUAUAUAUACUAUACAACAUUAGAGGUUUUAGAUGGAAAAAAAAAAAAAAACUUUCUAAAGUUGUUAAGGGCAAUAUUUAUUUAGAUUCUUAAGAUUAUUUUGCAUAUUUUCCAGCAUUACAGAAAUUUUAUGUACUAGUAUUUUGAAAUUAUGUCUCCCUCUUUUAUCAAAGUCUAUAAAUUGGAUUUGACAUGCCCAUUAACUAUAUUAUCAAUAUAGUGUGUGUUUUACCUCUAUAUCACUUACACUAAGGAUAAAUGAGUCAAAAUAAUAAUUUUUGUAACUACACCUCUGUUAAGUUAUAACCUCAUAGUAAUAAAUUAGUUUGGUCCCAACAUUGCGACUACAAAGAGCUUUUACCGUACUAUCAUGUGGAGAUUUCCAACCUCGGGACUUUCUAAUGCAUGUAUAAGUGAAUUAAUUAUUUUGGAAAAAAAUAAUACCAUUCCAAGAAGGUUUCCAACUAUAAUUGAACCAAUUGGGUCAUAAAUUGCAUUUCCUGUGACAUUAACUGCAAUCAAUGAUGCUCCAGCUAUAACAAGGCCGGUAACUGCAGCACCAUCCUGCAUAACAGAAAUCAUUUAUUAGGGGUCCCAGACAAGGAGAAUAGUUGCAAUGUAUAUAUAGUAUCAGACAUAACUAGAGAACAAAUUAUCAGCAAUCAACCAAAAUAUAUUUUUUUUAAUUUGAAUUGCAAUAUGUAGUUAAUUGCAGUAAAGAUGAUUAGGGACAUACACG
Molecule: long non-coding RNA, 8618 nt
Filed under: Citrus sinensis (sweet orange)
Lineage: Eukaryota; Viridiplantae; Streptophyta; Magnoliopsida; Sapindales; Rutaceae
Description: long non-coding RNA (CSIN_LNC000188)
Source: RNAcentral